GACGAACGCUGGCGGCGUGCCUAAUAUAUGCAAGUCGAGCGAAGUUUUUCUGGUGCUUGCACUGUGAUAACUUCGCGGCAAACGGGUGAGUCACACGUAAAGACUCUCUCUCAUAGACUGGUACAACUAUGGAAAAGGAUAGCAAAUAGCGGAUAAUUGUAUUAAGUGCAUUGCUGAAGUUUAAGAGUGUGUUUUGCUAACAUAUAGAGAUGGCUUUGCUGUGCAUUAGCUAGUUGGUGGGGUAAAGUCCUACCAAGGCAACGAUGCAUAGCCGACCUGAGAGGGUGAUCGGCCACACUGGAACUGAGACACGGCCCAGACUCCUACGGGAGGCAGCAGUAGGGAAUCUUCCGCAAUGGGCGAAAGCCUGACGGAGCAACGCCGCGUGAGUGAAGAAGGUUUUCGGUUCGUAAAGCUCUGUUAUUAGGGAAGAACGAUUGUGUAGUUAAUAUACACAGUAGAGACGGUACCUAACCAGAAAGCCACGGCUAACUACGUG
This 499-nucleotide ribosomal RNA is filed under the name uncultured bacterium. Its description in RNAcentral is "partial 16S ribosomal RNA". It matches the Rfam family "Bacterial small subunit ribosomal RNA", at positions 28 to 507 of the family's 1533-position model. The record is from RNAcentral.